Capsicum annuum is the source of this 832-nucleotide long non-coding RNA. RefSeq lists it as uncharacterized. The record is from RefSeq and is a predicted model, not a curated record. The transcript has 2 exons. NCBI's taxonomy places the organism in Eukaryota, Viridiplantae, Streptophyta, Magnoliopsida, Solanales, Solanaceae.
AAUAAAUUAUCUUUUGAUUAAACUUCCUUCAUUUAAAAUUUUUUUUUUAAUUCAAAGUUGGGCUACUUGGCCCAUUUAUUAAAAAACAAAGUAAAUUGUUUACACCCGAGUCAAAAGUGACUCGGUCCAUAAAAACAACAAUAAAAUCUACCAGCAAUAUCUGGUCUUAACAAAUGUGGAAAAAGGAAAGUUACCAGACCUUCCAUCCACUAUACCAAACUAUUAUUGCUGCCACCAUUAAUGAGCUGCUCUUGUCCAUCUUUUUGAAAAUUCCACGAAAAUGAUACUCCUUCAAACGGUUCUUUUCUCAAGAUCUCCAACAAUCGAAGUUCUUCAAUUGGUUCCUUCAGAUCGGAAGUUUGGGAAUACCAACCAAGGUAAGAAUUUCAUUUUACCUUCAAUUUCUUUGAUUAACUUUCUUCUUGUGCCUAUUUUGACAGAAAUCAUCCUUUACAUUUCCAAGCUGAACUACGGUUUCUAUUUAACCUCCAAGUUGCAAUGAUACUAUGGUUGCUUCCAGAUUGAAGACUAUCAUUGUGGUGCUGGCUGCUUCAUCCUUAAUUAGAGAUCAAGGAUUCAAUAUUGGGCAUGGAGAAAACUUUAUUGAGAGUACUACCCCUGAAUGGGGCCUUAUCCGAUGCGAAUUUGAAUUAGUCAAGCUCUAAUACGGGUACCAAACACCAGAUGGAAACCAAAAAAAAAAAAGAUUGAAGACUACUAACUUUUUGUAUCUAAUUAACUUGAGUCAUUUUCUUAGCUAUAUUUGUUUUCCAUCUAACUUGUAUUUAAGAUAUUCAAUGUUCAAUUUUAAUUCUUUUAAAUGUUUACCAAA